UUUUCAACACUUGCUAUAGGACCCUUUUAAA
Molecule: non-coding RNA, 31 nt
Filed under: Rattus norvegicus (Norway rat)
Lineage: Eukaryota; Metazoa; Chordata; Mammalia; Rodentia; Muridae
Source: RNAcentral